CUGUAUUACAGAAGAGCCACUGAACAAGGGGAUGGUGAUGACAGAUCACAAGAAUUUACCUCCGUGCUAUCCUGGUCUAGGGAAAUGGUUUCAAGAGCACUGUACACCGAUCUAUAGCCUAAAAGCUACACCACUUAACCUUGCUGUACAGGUGGUGACACCACUGAGGAUUGUGUAAGCUCUCUGUGACUUUUGCAAAAUUGCAGAAUCACCCUUGGAUACAUCAGAACAUAUCCCCAUUGGUAAGUGACACAUAACUGUGCUUCAGAAACAGGAGCAGCAGAUUGUGAACACC
Molecule: long non-coding RNA, 295 nt
Filed under: Cavia porcellus (domestic guinea pig)
Lineage: Eukaryota; Metazoa; Chordata; Mammalia; Rodentia; Caviidae
Description: lncRNA (ENSCPOG00000030024.1)
Source: RNAcentral